RNAcentral lists this ribosomal RNA (292 nucleotides) under uncultured bacterium. Its description in RNAcentral is "partial 16S ribosomal RNA". It matches the Rfam family "Bacterial small subunit ribosomal RNA", at positions 505 to 796 of the family's 1533-position model. The record is from RNAcentral.
GUGUCAGCCGCCGCGGUAAUACGUAGGGUGCGAGCGUUGUUCGGAAUCACUGGGCGUAAAGGGAGCGUAGGCGGAGCCGUAAGUUAGGAGUGUAAUACCCGGGCUUAACCCGGGUCUUGCUUUUAAUACUGCGGUUCUUGAGUUUGGAAGAGGGAGAUGGAAUUCCAGGUGUAGCGGUGGAAUGCGUAGAUAUCUGGAAGAACACCAGUAGCGAAGGCGGUCUCCUGGUCCUAUACUGACGCUGAGGCUCGAAAGUUAGGGGAGCAAACAGGAUUAGAAACCCCCGUAGUCC